Molecule: ribosomal RNA, 253 nt
Filed under: uncultured bacterium
Lineage: Bacteria
Description: partial 16S ribosomal RNA
Rfam family: Bacterial small subunit ribosomal RNA
Source: RNAcentral
UACGAAGGGGGCUAGCGUUGCUCGGAAUUACUGGGCGUAAAGGGCGCGUAGGCGGAUAGUUUAGUCAGAGGUGAAAGCCCAGGGCUCAACCUUGGAACUGCCUUUGAUACUGAAGAUCUUGAGUUCGGGAGAGGUGAGUGGAACUGCGAGUGUAGAGGUGAAAUUCGUAGAUAUUCGCAAGAACACCAGUGGCGAAGGCGGCUCACUGGCCCGAUACUGACGCUGAGGCACGAAAGCGUGGGGAGCAAACAGG